UGUGAGCUCGAUGAGUAGGGCGGGACACGUGGUAUCCUGUCUGAAUAUGGGGGGACCAUCCUCCAAGGCUAAAUACUCCUGACUGACCGAUAGUGAACCAGUACCGUGAGGGAAAGGCGAAAAGAACCCCGGCGAGGGGAGUGAAAAAGAACCUGAAACCGUGUACGUACAAGCAGUGGGAGCACGCUUAGGCGUGUGACUGCGUACCUUUUGUAUAAUGGGUCAGCGACUUAUAUUCUGUAGCAAGGUUAACCGAAUAGGGGAGCCGAAGGGAAACCGAGUCUUAACUGGGCGUUAAGUUGCAGGGUAUAGACCCGAAACCCGGUGAUCUAGCCAUGGGCAGGUUGAAGGUUGGGUAACACUAACUGGAGGACCGAACCGACUAAUGUUGAAAAAUUAGCGGAUGACUUGUGGCUGGGGGUGAAAGGCCAAUCAAACCGGGAGAUAGCUGGUUCUCCCCGAAAGCUAUUUAGGUAGCGCCUCGUGAAUUCAUCUCCGGGGGUAGAGCACUGUUUCGGCAAGGGGGUCAUCCCGACUUACCAACCCGAUGCAAACUGCGAAUACCGGAGAAUGUUAUCACGGGAGACACACGGCGGGUGCUAACGUCCGUCGUGAAGAGGGAAACAACCCAGACCGCCAGCUAAGGUCCCAAAGUCAUGGUUAAGUGGGAAACGAUGUGGGAAGGCCCAGACAGCCAGGAUGUUGGCUUAGAAGCAGCCAUCAUUUAAAGAAAGCGUAAUAGCUCACUGGUCGAGUCGGCCUGCGCGGAAGAUGUAACGGGGCUAAACCAUGCACCGAAGCUGCGGCAGCGACGCUUAUGCGUUGUUGGGUAGGGGAGCGUUCUGUAAGCCUGCGAAGGUGUGCUGUGAGGCAUGCUGGAGGUAUCAGAAGUGCGAAUGCUGACAUAAGUAACGAUAAAGCGGGUGAAAAGCCCGCUCGCCGGAAGACCAAGGGUUCCUGUCCAACGUUAAUCGGGGCAGGGUGAGUCGACCCCUAAGGCGAGGCCGAAAGGCGUAGUCGAUGGGAAACAGGUUAAUAUUCCUGUACUUGGUGUUACUGCGAAGGGGGGACGGAGAAGGCUAUGUUGGCCGGGCGACGGUUGUCCCGGUUUAAGCGUGUAGGCUGGUUUUCCAGGCAAAUCCGGAAAAUCAAGGCUGAGGCGUGAUGACGAGGCACUACGGUGCUGAAGCAACAAAUGCCCUGCUUCCAGGAAAAGCCUCUAAGCAUCAGGUAACAUCAAAUCGUACCCCAAACCGACACAGGUGGUCAGGUAGAGAAUACCAAGGCGCUUGAGAGAACUCGGGUGAAGGAACUAGGCAAAAUGGUGCCGUAACUUCGGGAGAAGGCACGCUGAUAUGUAGGUGAAGCGACUUGCUCGUGGAGCUGAAAUCAGUCGAAGAUACCAGCUGGCUGCAACUGUUUAUUAAAAACACAGCACUGUGCAAACACGAAAGUGGACGUAUACGGUGUGACGCCUGCCCGGUGCCGGAAGGUUAAUUGAUGGGGUCAGCGCAAGCGAAGCUCUUGAUCGAAGCCCCGGUAAACGGCGGCCGUAACUAUAACGGUCCUAAGGUAGCGAAAUUCCUUGUCGGGUAAGUUCCGACCUGCACGAAUGGCGUAAUGAUGGCCAGGCUGUCUCCACCCGAGACUCAGUGAAAUUGAACUCGCUGUGAAGAUGCAGUGUACCCGCGGCAAGACGGAAAGACCCCGUGAACCUUUACUAUAGCUUGACACUGAACAUUGAGCCUUGAUGUGUAGGAUAGGUGGGAGGCUUUGAAGUGUGGACGCCAGUCUGCAUGGAGCCGACCUUGAAAUACCACCCUUUAAUGUUUGAUGUUCUAACGUGGACCCGUAAUCCGGGUUGCGGACAGUGUCUGGUGGGUAGUUUGACUGGGGCGGUCUCCUCCUAAAGAGUAACGGAGGAGCACGAAGGUUGGCUAAUCCUGGUCGGACAUCAGGAGGUUAGUGCAAUGGCAUAAGCCAGCUUGACUGCGAGCGUGACGGCGCGAGCAGGUGCGAAAGCAGGUCAUAGUGAUCCGGUGGUUCUGAAUGGAAGGGCCAUCGCUCAACGGAUAAAAGGUACUCCGGGGAUAACAGGCUGAUACCGCCCAAGAGUUCAUAUCGACGGCGGUGUUUGGCACCUCGAUGUCGGCUCAUCACAUCCUGGGGCUGAAGUAGGUCCCAAGGGUAUGGCUGUUCGCCAUUUAAAGUGGUACGCGAGCUGGGUUUAGAACGUCGUGAGACAGUUCGGUCCCUAUCUGCCGUGGGCGCUGGAGAAUUGAGGGGGGCUGCUCCUAGUACGAGAGGACCGGAGUGGACGCAUCACUGGUGUUCGGGUUGUCAUGCCAAUGGCACUGCCCGGUAGCUAAAUGCGGAAGAGAUAAGUGCUGAAAGCAUCUAAGCACGAAACUUGCCCCGAGAUGAGUUCUCCCUGACUCCUUGA
This 2443-nucleotide ribosomal RNA is filed under the name Escherichia coli. RNAcentral's name for it is "bacterial LSU rRNA". It matches the Rfam family "Bacterial large subunit ribosomal RNA", at positions 398 to 2826 of the family's 2925-position model. Lineage: Bacteria; Pseudomonadati; Pseudomonadota; Gammaproteobacteria; Enterobacterales; Enterobacteriaceae. The record is from RNAcentral.